This 492-nucleotide ribosomal RNA is filed under the name uncultured bacterium. RNAcentral describes it as "bacterial SSU rRNA". It matches the Rfam family "Bacterial small subunit ribosomal RNA", at positions 32 to 518 of the family's 1533-position model. The record is from RNAcentral.
AACGCUAGCGACAGGCCUAACACAUGCAAGUCAGGGGCGAGCACAAGGAGCAAUCUGAGGUGGCGACCGGCGCACGGGUGAGUAACACGUAUGCAACCUGCCUGUAAGCGGGGAAUAACCCGUUGAAAGACGGACUAAUACCGCAUAAUACUAAAUUACUGCAUGGUAAUUUAUUUAAACAUUUAUGGCUUACAGAUGGGCAUGCGCAUGAUUAGCUAGUUGGAGAGGUAACGGCUCCCCAAGGCAACGAUCAUUAGGGGUUCUGAGAGGAAGGUCCCCCACACUGGUACUGAGACACGGACCAGACUCCUACGGGAGGCAGCAGUGAGGAAUAUUGGUCAAUGGACGAGAGUCUGAACCAGCCAAGUCGCGUGCAGGAAGAAUGUCCCUAUGGAUUGUAAACUGCUUUUGCAGGGGAAUAAAGUGCAUCACGUGUGAUGUUUUGUAUGUACUCUGCGAAUAAGGAUCGGCUAACUCCGUGCCAGCCGCCGC